UCCAGACUCCUACGGGAGGCAGCAGUGGGGAAUAUUGGGCAAUGGGCGCAAGCCUGACCCAGCAACGCCGCGUGAAGGAAGAAGGCUUUCGGGUUGUAAACUUCUUUUGUCAGGGAAGAGUAGAAGACGGUACCUGACGAAUAAGCCACGGCUAACUACGUGCCAGCAGCCGCGGUAAUACGUAGGUGGCAAGCGUUGUCCGGAUUUACUGGAUGUAAAGGGCGUGUAGGUGGGCGCUUAAGUCAGGUGUGAAAACUCCGGGCUCAACCUGGAGACUGCACUUGAAACUGGGUGUCUUGAGGGCAGGAGAGGAAAGUGGAAUUCCUAGUGUAGCGGUGAAAUGCGUAGAUAUUAGGAGGAACACCAGUGGCGAAGGCGACUUUCUGGACUGUACCUGACGCUGAGGCGCGAAAGCGUGGGUAGCGAACGGGAUUAGAUACCCCCGUA
RNAcentral lists this ribosomal RNA (447 nucleotides) under uncultured bacterium. Its description in RNAcentral is "bacterial SSU rRNA". It matches the Rfam family "Bacterial small subunit ribosomal RNA", at positions 330 to 792 of the family's 1533-position model. The record is from RNAcentral.